GGAUAAUCUACCCGACAGUCAGGGAUAACAUUUCGAAAGGAAUGCUAAUACCUGAUAAGCCUACGCCCUCUUCGGAGGAAGUAGGAAAAGGUGGGGACCUUCGGGCCUGCCGUUGUUGGAUGAGUCCGCGGCCCAUUAGCUAGCUGGUAGGGUAAUGGCCUACCAAGGCUACGAUGGGUAGCUGGUCUGAGAGGAUGAUCAGCCACACUGGAACUGAGACACGGUCCAG
Molecule: ribosomal RNA, 229 nt
Filed under: uncultured bacterium
Lineage: Bacteria
Description: partial 16S ribosomal RNA
Rfam family: Bacterial small subunit ribosomal RNA
Source: RNAcentral